UGACCGCUGGCGACAUGCCUUACACAUGCAAGUCGACCGGCAGCACGGGUGCUUGCACCUGGUGGCGAGUGGCGAACGGGUGAGUAAUACAUCGGAACAUGUCCUGUAGUGGGGGAUAGCCCGGCGAAAGCCGGAUUAAUACCGCAUACGAUCUACGGAUGAAAGCGGGGGACCUUCGGGCCUCGCGCUAUAGGGUUGGCCGAUGGCUGAUUAGCUAGUUGGUGGGGUAAAGGCCUACCAAGGCGACGAUCAGUAGCUGGUCUGAGAGGACGACCAGCCACACUGGGACUGAGACACGGCCCAGACUCCUACGGGAGGCAGCAGUGGGGAAUUUUGGACAAUGGGCGAAAGCCUGAUCCAGCAAUGCCGCGUGUGUGAAGAAGGCCUUCGGGUUGUAAAGCACUUUUGUCCGGAAAGAAAUCCUUGGCCCUAAUACGGUCGGGGGAUGACGGUACCGGAAGAAUAAGCACCGGCUAACUACGUG
RNAcentral lists this ribosomal RNA (484 nucleotides) under uncultured bacterium. RNAcentral's name for it is "partial 16S ribosomal RNA". It matches the Rfam family "Bacterial small subunit ribosomal RNA", at positions 30 to 507 of the family's 1533-position model. The record is from RNAcentral.